CUUGCCGGGUGGGCAGUCGCCCGGAGGGCGGUCUUGGCCGUCCCGGGAGGAAAGUCCGGUCUCCACAGGGCAGCGUGCCGGCUAACGGCCGGGGGGAUCCGCUCAAAGCGGAUUUCACGGAAAGUGCCACAGAAAACAUACCGCCACCACCGGGUGGUAAGGGUGAAAAGGUGCGGUAAGAGCGCACCGCGGCUGGAGCAAUCCAGACCGGCAGGGCAAACCCCACGCGGAGCAAGACCAAAUAGGAGAGGAGGAGUGGCCCGCUCCGUUUGACUCUCGGGUAGGUCGCUUGAGCCCGGCAGUAAUGCCGGGCCUAGAGGAAUGACUGCCGCCCGCAAAGGGUACAGAAACCGGCUUACAGCCCGGCAAGCUCU
RNAcentral lists this RNase P RNA (374 nucleotides) under Candidatus Solibacter sp. RNAcentral's name for it is "RNase P RNA component class A". It matches the Rfam family "Bacterial RNase P class A". Rfam says of the family: Ribonuclease P (RNase P) is a ubiquitous endoribonuclease, found in archaea, bacteria and eukarya as well as chloroplasts and mitochondria. Its best characterised activity is the generation of mature 5'-ends of tRNAs by cleaving the 5'-leader elements of precursor-tRNAs. Cellular RNase Ps are ribonucleoproteins. The record is from RNAcentral. Lineage: Bacteria; Pseudomonadati; Acidobacteriota; Terriglobia; Bryobacterales; Solibacteraceae.